AUUAAAAAGGCUCAUUAAGAGUCAGGGCCUCCUGUUGCCUGAAGAAGGGUAA
This is a non-coding RNA of Escherichia coli ISC11, 52 nucleotides long. The record is from Rfam. Lineage: Bacteria; Pseudomonadati; Pseudomonadota; Gammaproteobacteria; Enterobacterales; Enterobacteriaceae.